RNAcentral lists this ribosomal RNA (503 nucleotides) under uncultured bacterium. RNAcentral describes it as "bacterial SSU rRNA". It matches the Rfam family "Bacterial small subunit ribosomal RNA", at positions 21 to 518 of the family's 1533-position model. The record is from RNAcentral.
GGCUUAGGAUGAACGCUAGCGACAGGCCUAACACAUGCAAGUCAGGGGCAGCACAAGGAGCAAUCUGAGGUGGCGACCGGCGCACGGGUGAGUAACACGUAUGCAACCUGCCUGUAAGCGGGGAAUGACCCGUUGAAAGACGGACUAAUACCGCAUAAUACUAAAUUACUGCAUGGUAAUUUAUUUAAACAUUUAUGGCUUACAGAUGGGCAUGCGCAUGAUUAGCUAGUUGGAGAGGUAACGGCUCCCCAAGGCAACGAUCAUUAGGGGUUCUGAGAGGAAGGUCCCCCACACUGGUACUGAGACACGGACCAGACUCCUACGGGAGGCAGCAGUGAGGAAUAUUGGUCAAUGGACGAGAGUCUGAACCAGCCAAGUCGCGUGCAGGAAGAAUGUUCCCUAUGGAUUGUAAACUGCUUUUGCAGGGGAAUAAAGUGCAUCACGUGUGAUGUUUUGUAUGUACUCUGCGAAUAAGGAUCGGCUAACUCCGUGCCAGCCGCCGC